AGCAGCCGCGGUAAUUCCAGCUCCAAUAGCGUAUAUUAAAGUUGUUGCAGUUAAAAAGCUCGUAGUUGAAUUUCGGGAUCAGUACGCUGGUCAUGCCUUUGGUAUGCACUGGUGUCACUGGUCUCUCCCUUCUGAAGAUCCGUUAUGUCAUUAAUUUGGUGUCGCGGGGAAUCAGGACUGUUACUUUGAAAAAUUAGAGUGUUUAAAGCAGGCUCACGCUUGAAUACAUUAGCAUGGAAUAAUGAAAUAGGACGUUUGACCCUAUUUUGUUGGUUUCUAGGAUCGACGUAAUGAUUAAUAGGGAUAGUUGGGGGCAUUAGUAUUCAAUUGUCAGAGGUGAAAUUCUUGGAUUUAUUGAAGACUAACUA
Molecule: ribosomal RNA, 368 nt
Filed under: uncultured Glomus
Lineage: Eukaryota; Fungi; Glomeromycota; Glomeromycetes; Glomerales; Glomeraceae
Description: SSU rRNA
Rfam family: Eukaryotic small subunit ribosomal RNA
Source: RNAcentral